Molecule: ribosomal RNA, 506 nt
Filed under: uncultured bacterium
Lineage: Bacteria
Description: bacterial SSU rRNA
Rfam family: Bacterial small subunit ribosomal RNA
Source: RNAcentral
AAAGGAAUUGACGGGGGCCCGCACAAGCGGUGGAACAUGUGGUUUAAUUCGAUGCUACGCGAGAAACCUUACCAGGGCUCGAAGUGUAAGAAGUAAGAACUUGAAAGAGGGAUGACAGGUAUCCAAUCCUGAACUUAUAUAGGUGCUGCAUGGUUGUCGUCAGCUCGUGCCGUGAGGUGUCGCCUUAAGUGGCUUAACGAGCGCAACCCUCGCAUUUAGUUGCUAGUUAUCUAUAUGAUAGCGCACUCUAAAUGGACUGCCCGUGUUAAACGGGAGGAAGGCGGGGACGACGUCAAAUCAGCAUGGCCCUUAUGUCCUGGGCUACACACGUGUUACAAUGCUCGAUACAACGAGAGGCUAAACCGCGAGGUCAAGCAAAUCUCUAAAAGUCGAGCCCAGUUCGGAUUGUAGGCUGCAACUCGCCUGCAUGAAGUCGGAAUCGCUAGUAAUGGCGCAUCAGCUACGGCGCCGUGAAUACGUUCCCGGGCCUUGUACACACCGCCCGU